GACGAACGCUGGCGGCGUGCUUAACACAUGCAAGUCAAACGGUAAGGCUCCAGCUUGCUGGGGUACACGAGUGGCGAACGGGUGAGUAACACGUGGGUGACCUGCCCUGCACUUCGGGAUAAGCCUGGGAAACUGGGUCUAAUACCGGAUAGGACCGCACCGUGAGGGUGUGGUGGAAAGUUUUUUCGGUGUGGGAUGGGCCCGCGGCCUAUCAGCUUGUUGGUGGGGUAAUGGCCUACCAAGGCGGCGACGGGUAGCCGGCCUGAGAGGGUGGACGGCCACAUUGGGACUGAGACACGGCCCAGACUCCUACGGGAGGCAGCAGUGGGGAAUAUUGCACAAUGGGCGGAAGCCUGAUGCAGCGACGCCGCGUGGGGGAUGACGGCCUUCGGGUUGUAAACUCCUUUCACCAUCGACGAAGGGUUUCUGACGGUAGAUGGAGAAGAAGCACCGGCUAACUACGUG
Molecule: ribosomal RNA, 465 nt
Filed under: uncultured bacterium
Lineage: Bacteria
Description: partial 16S ribosomal RNA
Rfam family: Bacterial small subunit ribosomal RNA
Source: RNAcentral